GUGAUGAUGGAGGCAGAGAUUGAAGUGAUGCAGCCAUCUAGCCCAGAAACAACAAGGACUGCCAGUGGCCACUGAAGGCUAGGAGAGAGGAAGAGAAUAGAUUCUUCAGAAGGGAUCAGCCCUUCUGACCCCUUGACUUUGGAUGUCUAACCUCUAAAAGUAACCAGCCAACGAUGGGCAGGGAUAGCCAUGGACCUUCUGCACAAGUUCAAGGCUGCAGAAUCUGCACGAUAUGAACAAGGGACCCAGCACAUCACCACCUUCUGCUAGUUAUGCAAUGCUCUCCAUCCUACAGGACUCACAUCCA
This 307-nucleotide long non-coding RNA is filed under the name Pan troglodytes (chimpanzee). RNAcentral's name for it is "long non-coding RNA NONPTRT009362". The record is from RNAcentral. Lineage: Eukaryota; Metazoa; Chordata; Mammalia; Primates; Hominidae.